UGGUGGAGGUUAGGAGCUUCAAAUCAACCUGAUGACCUUGCGAUCCCAGUGCCCUGUGGCUGUUUGUGUCUUGCAGAGCGGGCGUACAGCCUGGCCGAGCAGUCCCGGGAGCAAAGGAUUCAGGAAGAAGAAUGGAAUAAAUAUGCUGUACCCUCAAAAAAUGAGUCUGAAAAAUAUAAAGUGAGUCGGACUUUCAGCUUUCUGAUGAACAGGAUGACUAGCACAAGGAAUAAAUGCAAG
Cyanistes caeruleus (blue tit) is the source of this 240-nucleotide non-coding RNA. The record is from RefSeq and is a predicted model, not a curated record. Lineage: Eukaryota; Metazoa; Chordata; Aves; Passeriformes; Paridae.